This 255-nucleotide ribosomal RNA is filed under the name uncultured bacterium. RNAcentral describes it as "partial 16S ribosomal RNA". It matches the Rfam family "Bacterial small subunit ribosomal RNA", at positions 524 to 776 of the family's 1533-position model. The record is from RNAcentral.
UACGUAGGGUGCAAGCGUUAAUCGGAAUUACUGGGCGUAAAGCGUGCGCAGGCGGUUAUGUAAGACAGGUGUGAAAUCCCCGGGCUUAACCUGGGAACUGCAUUUGUGACUGCAUAGCUAGAGUACGGUAGAGGGGGAUGGAAUUCCGCGUGUAGCAGUGAAAUGCGUAGAUAUGCGGAGGAACACCGAUGGCGAAGGCAAUCCCCCUGGACCUGUACUGACGCUCAUGCACGAAAGCGUGGGGGAGCAAACAGG